UACGGAGGGGGCUAGCGUUGUUCGGAAUUACUGGGCGUAAAGCGCGCGUAGGCGGCUUUGUAAGUUAGAGGUGAAAGCCCGGAGCUCAACUCCGGAACUGCCUUUAAAACUGCAUCGCUUGAAUCCAGGAGAGGUGAGUGGAAUUCCGAGUGUAGAGGUGAAAUUCGUAGAUAUUCGGAAGAACACCAGUGGCGAAGGCGGCUCACUGGACUGGUAUUGACGCUGAGGUGCGAAAGCAUGGGGAGCAAACAGG
This 253-nucleotide ribosomal RNA is filed under the name uncultured bacterium. RNAcentral's name for it is "partial 16S ribosomal RNA". It matches the Rfam family "Bacterial small subunit ribosomal RNA", at positions 524 to 776 of the family's 1533-position model. The record is from RNAcentral.